GUCUUUUUGAAUUAAAUUUAAAGUCUAACCUGCCCACUGAAAAUUUUAAAUGGCCGCAGUAUUCUAACUGUGCAAAGGUAGCAUAAUCAUUAGUCUUUUAAUUGAAGGCUGGAAUGAAUGGUUGGACGAAAUAUUAACUGUUUCAUUUAAAUUUUUUGUAGAAUUUUAUUUUUUAGUCAAAAAGCUAAAAUAAAUUUAAAAGACGAGAAGACCCUAUAAAUCUUUAUAUUUUGUUUAUUUUAAUUAUAAAGAUUAUUUUUAUUAUAAUAAAUUAAAAUAUUUUAUUGGGGUGAUAUUAAAAUUUAAAAAACUUUUAAUUUUUAAAACCAUUAAUUUAUGAAUAAUUGAUCCAUUAAUAAUGAUUAAAAAUUUAAGUUACUUUAGGGAUAACAGCGUAAUUUUUUUGGAGAGUUCAUAUCGAUAAAAAAGAUUGCGACCUCGAUGUUGGAUUAAGAUAUAAUUUUGGGUGUAGCCGUUCAAAUUUUAAGUCUGUUCGACUUUUAAAUUCUU
Molecule: ribosomal RNA, 510 nt
Filed under: Drosophila systenopeza
Lineage: Eukaryota; Metazoa; Arthropoda; Insecta; Diptera; Drosophilidae
Description: partial 16S ribosomal RNA
Rfam family: Bacterial large subunit ribosomal RNA
Source: RNAcentral